GGGGCUUAACGGCCCCGCGGCCGUGGAGAAUCCUGGGGCGGAGCGCGGGCCUGAAACUAUCUAGCGGUAAUUCUCAGGCAGUUCGCUGUUGAGACCGCAGAGUUGUCUUUGGGAUCCUUUCUGAGGAAGAGCGGCAUCCCUGAGAGCAGAAAAUCUGGCCCCGUGAAGGGCAAACCCCCAAAUCAGACUAUGGGACACUGCCAGGCAGCAGGCCCGCUGCCUGGGAUGGAGAGGACUGUGGACUGAGCCUAAG
Molecule: long non-coding RNA, 253 nt
Organism: Capra hircus (goat)
Lineage: Eukaryota; Metazoa; Chordata; Mammalia; Artiodactyla; Bovidae
Exons: 3
Source: RefSeq, a predicted model, not a curated record